Molecule: non-coding RNA, 3230 nt
Organism: Musa acuminata subsp. malaccensis (wild Malaysian banana)
Lineage: Eukaryota; Viridiplantae; Streptophyta; Magnoliopsida; Zingiberales; Musaceae
Source: RefSeq, a predicted model, not a curated record
GCCAACGUCGGUCAUCCAAAAUCCCGCGUUGCUCCUCUCCAUCCUCCUUUCGAAACCACCUCCUCCUGUCUUUCCACCUACUUCUCAGGGGGAAGAAAGCGUGCCGGGAGUAAAGUAGAGAGGGAGCAGGAGAGGAAUCGGCUUUCUCGUUUGCCAAGACAGGACCAGCUUUGAUCUCGGUUUGCCCUUUGACGUGACAAUCGCAGCUCGCAGGAAAAUCCAGUCGAUUCCUGAGCUCCGUCGCAUCCGGUGCGGCCAAGCUGAUCGCUUUUUGGUCCGCUGUCUCGUUUGGUGCUAGAAAGCAGGGAUUUCGGUGGGGGGUUGGAGGAGGUUGGGAAAGGUCGGAACUUGGUGUCUCUGGAAGUUCGGAGGCGUUCAGGGGUCAUGGACGCUCGAUAGGGUUAAGUUCCGUACGAAAGAUGGCGGAAGAAGGAGGAGAAGAAACUAAGGUUCGGGUGGUGCGAUGCCCGAAUUGCAGUGGACUCCUCCCGGAGCUGGCCAAUCUCUCGGUCUAUCGCUGCGGUGGCUGCGGUGCUACUCUUCAAGUAAAAAGACCAGUCUCCGUGUCAGAGGCCUUGCCAGAGCAAUCUGAAGGUGUAAACGCCAAGUAUCCUGAGGUCCUAGAAAAUAGUGCAGAGAAGAAAUGGGUGGUCUUGGAUGCAAAGUCGGAGACUGAUCGUGAGUGUAAUGGAGCUGAGAGUAUGAGACAGAAGGAUGUAGGUCCAGAGAGAGCAGAAAGUUCCCAUGGUAUUUCUGUAUCUGAAACUGAACAAACAAUUGUUUCAAAGGAAGCCGACUCCUUCCAGUUAGAAGACUCUGCCAAAGGGUGUGUAGCACAAAGCAAGGGCGAUGAUUGUCAGCAUGAGGCAAUAUUACCAGUUGGCAAUCUUGGUGAAAAUGCAGAAGCUUUAAUUAAAGCAAAUUUACAUGAGGGAGAUAAAGCCAAGCAAUCAGUUGAUAUGUUUUUCUGUGCUCAGCAGGCACAAGUCCAGAAGGGUGAGGAGAGUCUAAAUCGAAAGGCUUUCAAAGCAGAAAUCCAACGUGAUCCGUACCCUGAUGAAGGCCCAUCUGACUAUCAUCAGAAUUCAAGGCGUGUAUGCACUGAUGGUGAUCGUGACAGGAGGCAGAAUGGUGCUGGUGCUGGCAGAGAUCAAGACCAAGCAGAGCUUCUGAGACUGAUUGAUAAAUUGAGGAAUCAAGUGCAAAGAACACGUGAGGUCUCAAGCAAGCAAAAGCUGAGUGCUACAGUUGAUAGAAUGACAGCUUGUGCCAAUAGGUUUCCUGACAGCUCAUGGUCAUUGAAUCGCAAUCCAUCUUGCCGGCCUGCAACACUCCGGGAUCACAAUGGUAAUAUGCUUGGUCUGAACGACAUGCCUGGACUUGGUGAUCCUUUGGCACGUAGAAGAGCUCCAUUUCAGUUAGGUGGUGAGUACCCUCAGAGGCUACCUGAUAAUUAUCUUAAUGGGCACUUCGAUCCUGAUCCUAUUAUGACUUAUAAUCAAGAACCCUUUUACCAUAAACCUGCUUGUUCAUGUGCCCGUUGCUUCCGCAGACAAUUCUCAGUCCUUGCAAGAGGCCCCCCAACAACAUUUGGCCAUCAGAGGGUCCCAUGUUUUGUGAAUAAUCAUAAGUUACAUCCAGUUGAUGCUCCCUCGAUCUUUGGUUCACGAAGUUAUAAUUCAAGAUUCAGAAAUGCUUCCUUUCAUUCGCAUGAGCCGCAAGCAUACCAGAGGGCCAUGUUCAGUAAGAAUGUUGGACGUUCUUGUCAACCCUUUGCUGGUGCUGCCCCUUUUAUGGUAUGUUGUAAUUGUUUUGAACUUCUGGAACUACCUGCUAAAUUGUUGUUUUCAAGAAAGAAGAAGUUUAAUCUGCGAUGUGGAGCUUGCUCCAAGGUCAUUUUGGUCCAGCGUGAUGGAAGUCGACUUGUUGCAUCUGGUCUGGCACCAACAACAUCUCUUUCAUCCAAGAACAAUGACAUUGGCUGUAGCCCAGGCGACUGUGUUCAGUCUACAGAUGAGAAGUUAGUUCUGCCUUGUAUUGUCACUAGCAGCGAUAAUGAGAUGAUAGAAAGGGCACAUGGGUUGAAGAACUUGGAUGAGUUAGAAAAAAGAAGGGUCCAUCUUCAUCUUCCACUAUGUCGGAGCAUGUUGACAUCUCAAAUAACAUUUUCUCACAGGACGUUCCUACCUCUUCAGAUAUUCCCUUAGAACCUCAGGUUAUUUCACGUGUGCCAAGUUUACCAAUUCGCAAACAUCUUGGUUCCUCAUUGUCUGAUCAAGCAAAUGAUGCAUCUGGAACUGGAAGCUGCAGUAGACGCUCAGAACAAGAUAAAAAUACGCCCUCAAGUAGUAAAUUUAGACAGAACUCAGUAAAAGAUGUUACGAUGGCAACUGAGAUGGACGUGUCAGUUAAUGAGUUUCCAAAUGCAAAUUCUUCUCAUGAUUAUUCGGACAUGAUAAGUGAACAUGAUGUUCAACCAAGGGUCAUCAAAGCUGGUGACUCAUUCCUUGCAGGCCUCAAGAAGAGUUUUCGUUUCCACAAAGCGAUGGGAUCUGGCGACUCUAAAGUUUCAGUUAAUGGUCAUCCAAUUCCUGAUCGUCUAGUUAAAAAAGCUGAAAAACAAGCUGGCCUAAUCCAUCCUGGUGACUAUUGGUAUGACUAUCACGCUGGAUUUUGGGGUGUCAUGGGGCAUCCAUGUCAUGGCAUUAUUCCUCCAUUUAUUGAAGAGUUCAAUUACCCUAUGCCCAAGAAUUGUGGCAGGGGAAAUACUGGUGUUAUUGUGAAUGGGAGAGAGCUUCAUCAUAAAGACCUGGACUUGCUUAUUGGUCGAGGGCUUCCAUCUGCUCCUGGUUCUUAUAAAAUUGAGAUUUCUGGGAGAGUUUGGGAUGAAUCCUCUGGUGAAGAGUUGGAUAGCCUUGGCAAGCUUGCACCAACGGUCGAGAGAAACAAACAUGGAUUUGGCAUGUGGGUUCCUUGAGUCCUUGCCAACUGAUGCAUCGAUACUUGAUGAACAUGCCCGAGAAAGCAUGCGGAAGAGUUUUCAGUCGUGAUAAACACAUAAGAAUCAUCUUGUCGGGAGUGUUUCUUUGAUUGUGGUGUUGUUCUCUUGUCCUCCCGCAGCAAUCAAUUGUAUCUUCUAAAGGUUUUCUCUUUUCUUUUAUUUGUGAAUUCCCGUUCAAUUUGUUCGGCAGGUUUUUGUAGAAGUCUCACCUUGCUUUGCACCCUUGUCA